Molecule: ribosomal RNA, 383 nt
Filed under: uncultured eukaryote
Lineage: Eukaryota
Description: partial 18S ribosomal RNA
Rfam family: Eukaryotic small subunit ribosomal RNA
Source: RNAcentral
CAAUAGCGUAUAUUAAAGUUGUUGCAGUUAAAAAGCUCGUAGUUGGAUUUCUGGUAGGAGUGACCGUUCCGAACUUGAUUGUUCGUGUAUUGUGUUUUCUCCAGCCAUCCUUGUGGAGAACUUUUCUUGCAUUAAUUUGUAGGGAUUGGGACCCGCAUCGUUUACUGUGAAAAAAUUAGAGUGUUUAAAGCAGGCAAUCGCUUGAAUACAUUAGCAUGGAAUAAUAAGAUAGGACUUUGGUAUUAUUUUGUUGGUUUGCAUACCAAAUUAAUGAUCAACAGGAACAGUUUGAGGAUAUUCGUAUGAACAUGUCAGAGGUGAAAUUCUUGGAUUUUGAUCAGACGAACUACUGCGAAAGCAUUUAUCAAGGAUGUUUUCAUUAA